AGAGUUUGAUCCUGGCUCAGAAUCAACGCUGGCGGCGCGCCUAACACAUGCAAGUCGAACGAGAAAGUCGGAGCAAUCCGGUGAGUAAAGUGGCGUACGGGUGAGUAACUCGUGGAUCAUCUACCUCUUAGUGUGGAAUAACCAUGGGAAACCGUGGCUAAUACCGCAUAAGUCCGUGAGGAGAAAGCAGCAAUGCGCUGAGAGAGGAGUCCGCGGCCGAUUAGCUAGUUGGCAGGGUAAAAGCCUACCAAGGCAAAGAUCGGUAGCCGGCCUGAGAGGGCACACGGCCACACUGGCACUGAAACACGGGCCAGACUCCUACGGGAGGCAGCAGUGGGGAAUCUUGCACAAUGGGGGAAACCCUGAUGCAGCGACGCCGCGUGAGCGAUGAAGCCCUUCGGGGUGUAAAGCUCUUUCGGCAGGGAAGAUAGUGACGGUACCUGCAGAAGCAGCUGCGGCUAACUACGUGCCAGCAGCCGCGGUAAUACGUAGGCAGCGAGCGUUGUUCGGAGUUACUGGGCGUAAAGGGUGUGUAGGCGGUCGCCUAAGUUUGGUGCGAAAUCUCCCGGCUCAACCGGGAGGGUGCGCCGAAUACUGAGUGACUAGAGUGUGGGAGAGGAAAGUGGAAUUCCUGGUGUAGCGGUGAAAUGCGUAGAUAUCAGGAGGAACACCGGCGGUGUAGACGGCUUUCUGGACCAUAACUGACGCUGAAACACGAAAGCGUGGGUAGCAAACAGGAUUAGAUACCCUGGUAGUCCACGCCCUAAACGAUGCAUAUUUGGUGUGGGUCAUUCAGUUGAUCCGUGCCGGAGCUGACGCGUUAAAUA
This 827-nucleotide ribosomal RNA is filed under the name uncultured bacterium. RNAcentral's name for it is "bacterial SSU rRNA". It matches the Rfam family "Bacterial small subunit ribosomal RNA", at positions 8 to 866 of the family's 1533-position model. The record is from RNAcentral.